Molecule: ribosomal RNA, 465 nt
Filed under: uncultured bacterium
Lineage: Bacteria
Description: partial 16S ribosomal RNA
Rfam family: Bacterial small subunit ribosomal RNA
Source: RNAcentral
GAUGAACGCUGGCGGCGUGCUUAACACAUGCAAGUCGAACGGAAAGGCUCCUGCUUGCAGGGGUACUCGAGUGGCGAACGGGUGAGUAACACGUGGGUGAUCUGCCCUGCACUUCGGGAUAAGCCUGGGAAACUGGGUCUAAUACCGGAUAGGACGAUGGUUUGGAUGCCAUUGUGGAAAGUUUUUCGGUGUGGGAUGAGCUCGCGGCCUAUCAGCUUGUUGGUGGGGUAAUGGCCUACCAAGGCGUCGAUGGGUAGCCGGCCUGAGAGGGUGUACGGCCACAUUGGGACUGAGAUACGGCCCAGACUCCUACGGGAGGCAGCAGUGGGGAAUAUUGCACAAUGGGCGCAAGCCUGAUGCAGCGACGCCGCGUGGGGGAUGACGGCCUUCGGGUUGUAAACUCCUUUCGCUAGGGACGAAGCGCAAGUGACGGUACCUGGAGAAGAAGCACCGGCUAACUACGUG